RNAcentral lists this ribosomal RNA (1420 nucleotides) under human gut metagenome. RNAcentral's name for it is "bacterial LSU rRNA". It matches the Rfam family "Bacterial large subunit ribosomal RNA", at positions 466 to 1978 of the family's 2925-position model. The record is from RNAcentral.
CUAAAUACUACCCAGUGACCGAUAGCGUAUAGUACUGUGAAGGAAAGGUGAAAAGCACCCCGGGAGGGGAGUGAAAAAGAACCUGAAACCCUGUGCCUACAAGCACCUAGAGCACGUCAAUGUGUGAUAGGGUACUUUUUGUAGAACGGUCCGGCGAGCGAUUGUAUGCAGCAAGGUUAAGGACUUAAGGUCUGGAGCCGAAGCGAAAGCGAGUUUGAAAAGGGCGUUAAGUUGCAUAUAAUGGGCCCGAAACCGGGUGACCUACCCAUGGUCAGGUUGAAGUGGAAGUAAAAUUCCAUGGAGGACCGAACCGACCUCCGUUGAAAAGGCGGCGGAUGAACUGUGGGUAGCGGAGAAAUUCCAAUCGAACCCGGAGAUAGCUGGUUCUCCCCGAAAUAGUUUUAGGACUAGCCUCAAGUUAGAUACCUGGAGGUAAAGCACUGAAUAGCCUAGCGGCCGAGAGGUUAGCGAAGCUUAUCAAACUCAGAAUGCCAGAGUAUUGAUGCUUGGGAGUCAGACAGUGUCAGAUAAAUGUCAUUGUCAAAAGGGAAACAGCCCAGAUCUACAGCUAAGGUCCCAAAGUCAGGUUAAGUGGAAAACGAUGUGAAGAUACGCAGACAACCAGGAUGUUGGCUCAGAAGCAGCCACUCAUUCAAAGAGUGCGUAAUAGCUCACUGGUCGAGCGUCUUUGCGCGGAGAAUUUAACGGGGCUAAACCUGACACCGAAGCUUAGGCAAUGUAGUAAUACAUUGGGUAGGGGAGCGUUGUAUACGCGGUGAAACAGUAGCGCAAGCGGCUGUGGAGUGUAUAGAAGUGAGAAUGCCGGAAUGAGUAGCGCGAAUGCAGUGAGAAUCUGCAUGGCCGAAAGCCUCAGGUUUCUGGAGGAAGGUUCGUCCGCUCCAGGUUAGUCGGGAGCUAAGGUGAGGCCUAACGGCGUAGCCGAUGCACAGACGGUAGAGAUUCCGUCACCACCAAAAGAGUUAAGCACAGGGACACAUAUGAAGUCUCAGAGCCGGGUGUUGGUUCCGGUAGAGAUCGAGGGAAAUUAGUACCGAAGUCUGAGAUGGAAGAUGGCGAGAAAAGCUGUGUGUAUUUCUGAGGUGCCCGUACCGCAAACCGACACAGGUAGGUAGGAAGAAGAUUCUAAGGCCAACGGGAGAAGGGUUGUUAAGGAACUCGGCAAAUUGACCCCGUAACUUCGGGAGAAGGGGUGCUCCAGAGAUGGAGCCGCAGAGAAUCGGCCCAAGCAACUGUUUACCAAAAACACAGGUUUGUGCUAAAUCGAAAGAUGACGUAUACGAGCUGACGCCUGCCCGGUGCUGGAAGGUUAAGAGGAGAUGUGCAAGCAUUGAAUCGAAGCCCCAGUGAACGGCGGCCGUAACUAUAACGGUCCUAAGGUAGCGAAAUUCCUUGUCAGGUA